Molecule: small nucleolar RNA, 104 nt
Organism: Manihot esculenta (cassava)
Lineage: Eukaryota; Viridiplantae; Streptophyta; Magnoliopsida; Malpighiales; Euphorbiaceae
Product: small nucleolar RNA snoR109
Exons: 1
Source: RefSeq, a predicted model, not a curated record
GGGCUGUAGCUACAUUAAAUACGGAUGAGAAGUUAACUGGCCGGUUGUUUGAGAUUCAUAAUGGAUCUCUAUAGACAUAUCUGCUUACCGAACUUCUUACAACU